RNAcentral lists this ribosomal RNA (242 nucleotides) under uncultured bacterium. RNAcentral describes it as "partial 16S ribosomal RNA". It matches the Rfam family "Bacterial small subunit ribosomal RNA", at positions 15 to 248 of the family's 1533-position model. The record is from RNAcentral.
AAUCAUGGCUCAGGAUGAACGCUAGCUACAGGCUUAACACAUGCAAGUCGAGGGGCAGCGGGAUUGAAGCUUGCUUCAAUUGCCGGCGACCGGCGCACGGGUGAGUAACGCGUAUCCAACCUUCCGUACACUUAGGGAUAGCCUUUCGAAAGAAAGAUUAAUACCUGAUGGUAUCUUAAGCACACAUGUAAUUAAGAUUAAAGAUUCAUCGGUGUACGAUGGGGAUGCGUUCCAUUAGGUAG